Camelus dromedarius (Arabian camel) is the source of this 107-nucleotide small nuclear RNA. NCBI's taxonomy places the organism in Eukaryota, Metazoa, Chordata, Mammalia, Artiodactyla, Camelidae. The record is from Ensembl.
AUGCUUACUUCAGCAGCACAUAUACUAAAAUUGGAACGAUACAGAGAAGAUUAGCAUGGCCCCUGCACAAGGAUGACAUGCAAAUCUGUGAAGUGUUCCAUACUUAA